UACGUAGGUGGCAAGCGUUGUCCGGAAUUAUUGGGCGUAAAGCGCGCGCAGGCGGUCCUUUAAGUCUGAUGUGAAAGCCCACGGCUCAACCGUGGAAGGUCAUUGGAAACUGGAGGACUUGAGUACAGAAGAGGAAAGCGGAAUUCCACGUGUAGCGGUGAAAUGCGUAGAGAUGUGGAGGAACACCAGUGGCGAAGGCGGCUUUCUGGAACGCAACUGACGCUGAGACGCGAAAGCGUGGGGAGCAAACAGG
This 253-nucleotide ribosomal RNA is filed under the name uncultured bacterium. Its description in RNAcentral is "partial 16S ribosomal RNA". It matches the Rfam family "Bacterial small subunit ribosomal RNA", at positions 524 to 776 of the family's 1533-position model. The record is from RNAcentral.